This 488-nucleotide ribosomal RNA is filed under the name uncultured bacterium. RNAcentral's name for it is "partial 16S ribosomal RNA". It matches the Rfam family "Bacterial small subunit ribosomal RNA", at positions 28 to 507 of the family's 1533-position model. The record is from RNAcentral.
GACGAACGCUGGCGGCGUGCUUAACACAUGCAAGUCGAGCGGAAAGGCCCUGCUUGCGUGGGGUUCUCGAGUGGCGAACGGGAGAGUAACACAUGAGUAACCUUUCCUGGACUGUGGGAUAACUUCAGAAAACUGGGGCUACUACCUGCUAGGAGCGCCUGCUGCAUGGGGGGGGUCGGACAGUUUCGGCGGAUGGGGGUGGACUCGGGGCUUAGGAGCUAGUGGGGGGGGGAAUGGCUUACCAGGGGGUUGACGCGUAGCCGGCCUGGGAGGGUGACCAGCGACACUGGAAGGGAGACACGGACCAGGCGCCUGCGGGAGGCAGCAGUGGGGAAUGGGGGACAAUGGGGGGAAGUCUGAUCCAGCGGUGGGGCGUGUGUGAAGAAGGCCUUCGGAUGGGAAAGCACUUUUAGUUGGGAGAAAGGGCAGUAAGUUAAUACCUUGCUGUUUUGACGGUAACGACAAAAGAAGCACCGGCUAACUUCGUG